AUGACGGCGCCGCGCGGUGGCGGGGAUGUGCCAUCGUCGACGGCGUCGGCAGCCGCCGCCGCCGCUUCGAUGACCGAGCCCAACACGCCGACGUCGGCGCACGCGUCGGGGCUCAACCGGCGGGGGUCGAGGGGCGCCGCCAUGGCCUCCUUCUCCAUGGAGGUCUUCGACAACGAGGUGGUGCCGUCCUCGCUCAGCAGCAUCGCCCCCAUCCUGCGCGUCGCCGCCGAGAUCGAGCACGAGCGCCCCCGCGUCGCCUACCUCUGUCGGUUCUAUGCCUUCGAGAAGGCGCACAGGCUGGAUCAAAACUCUGUUGGUCGUGGCGUCCGGCAGUUCAAAACGUCCCUGCUUCAGCGCUUAGAGAAGGAUAAUAGCCCGAGUCUCGCAAAGCGAUUGAAGAAAACUGAUGCCCGCGAAAUUGAGAGUUUCUAUCAAGAAUACUAUGAGAACUAUGUCCGCACCCUCGACAAAGGGGAACAAGCCGACAGGACUCAACUUGGGAAGGCCUACCAAACGGCUGGAGUCCUCUUCGAGGUGCUCUGUGCCGUCAACAAGAAUGAGAAGGUUGAGCAAGUUAACCCCGAGAUUAUGCGCUGGCACACUGAGGUGCAAGAAAAGAAAGACAUCUACGCGCCGUUCAAUAUUCUGCCUCUCGAUGCGGCCAGUGCAUCCCAGUCCAUCAUGCAGCUGGAGGAGAUAAAAGCAGCAGUCGCAGCUCUGCGGUACACACGGGGUUUGACCUGGCCUUCUGCAUUUGAGCCGGAAAGGCAGAAGGGGGGUGAGCUCGAUUUGCUCGAUUGGUUGAGAGCUAUGUUUGGCUUUCAGCGGGACAGUGUCAGGAAUCAACGGGAGCAUUUGAUUCUUCUCCUCGCUAAUGUGCACAUUAGACUUGAGCCAAAGCCUGAACCACUUAGCAAGCUAGAUGACCGAGCUGUUGAUGUAGUGAUGAACAAGUUGUUCAACAACUACAAGAAGUGGUGCAAAUUUUUGUCACGGAAACAUAGUUUGAGAAAUCCUCCAGGUGCUCAAUUACAGGAAGUUCAGCAACGCAGAAUUUUGUACCUAGGUCUUUAUCUUCUUAUCUGGGGCGAAUCAGCAAAUAUCCGGUUUAUGCCAGAGUGUCUUUGCUACAUUUUUCACAAUAUGGCAUAUGAGUUGCAUGGGUUGCUUGCUGGAAAUGUUAGUAUUGUGACUGGUGAAAAUAUCAGGCCAUCUUAUGGUGGGGAUGAGGAGGCUUUCUUAAAGAAAGUGGUCACACCUAUCUAUCGUGUCAUCAGAAAGGAGGCAGGAAAAAGCCAACAUGGAAAAACUGCACAUUCAGCAUGGUGUAAUUAUGAUGAUCUAAAUGAGUACUUCUGGACACCUGAUUGUUUCUCACUGGGAUGGCCAAUGCGAGAUGAUGGUGACUUCUUCAAAUCCGUGCACGAUUCAAGGCCUGUAGCAGUGGCUGGAAGCUCCUCACCAAAGGGUUCUAGUAAAGGCACAGGCAAGACAAAUUUUGUAGAGACAAGAUCGUUUUGGCACAUCUUUCGUAGUUUUGACCGAAUGUGGACCUUCUAUUUGUUGGCUCUACAGGCAAUGUUGAUUUUUGCUUGGAGUGAAUAUUCAGUGACUCAAAUCCUUCAGAAGGACCUCUUAUAUUCUCUAUCAAGCAUAUUUGUCACAGCAGCAUUUUUACAGUUCCUCCAAAGUAUUUUAGACUUUAUUCUGAACUUUCCUGGCCACAUUAGAUGCAAGUUCAUUGACGUCGUGAGAAAUAUUCUGAAGAUAGUAGUUAGUGCCGCGUGGGCUGUGAUUCUUCCCAUUUUCUAUAUCAGAAGUCAAACAAAAGUCAAUUUACCACUGAAAAAUCUGGACAGAUGGUUUGGUUAUGUGAAAGGAGUGCCACAACUAUAUAUCCUGGCUGUGGCGGUGUACCUGAUACCUAAUAUGAUUAGUGCAACGCUCUUCCUGUUUCCGAUGUUUCGAAGGUGGAUAGAGAGCUCGGAUUGGCAUAUUGUUAGACUGCUACUGUGGUGGUCUCAGAAACGAAUUUAUGUUGGCCGUGGAAUGCAUGAAAGUCAAGCUGCUCUUCUGAAGUACACAUUAUUUUGGAUUUUGCUGCUAUGCGCGAAGCUUUCCUUCAGUUACUUUGUCCAGAUACAACCUCUUAUAAGGCCUACCAAGGAUAUAAUGAGUGUUCAUAACAUUCGUUAUGAGUGGCAUGAGUUUUUUCCAAACGCAUCAUAUAAUAUCGCUGCUAUCCUAUCCCUCUGGGCCCCUGUUCUGUUGGUCUAUUUGAUGGAUACACAGAUAUGGUAUGCCAUUUUCUCUACAAUAUCCGGCGGUAUGUCUGGGGCACUUGGACGACUUGGGGAGAUUCGAACACUAGGAAUGCUGAGAUCACGAUUUCACUCUUUGCCUGGAGCCUUCAAUACAUAUUUGGUGCCAUCAGACAAAGGCAGAAACAGACGUUUUUCACUCUCAAAGCGCUUCGCAGAGGUUUCCCCCAACAAGAGAACUGAAGCUGCCAAGUUUGCUCAACUGUGGAAUGAAGUGAUUUGCAGUUUCCGCGACGAAGAUUUUAUAAGUGAUAAGGAGAUGGACCUAUUGGUGGUUCCAUACUCAUCAGACCCGAGCCUAAAAUUGAUGCAGUGGCCGUUGUUCUUGCUUGCUAGCAAGAUACCUAUAGCUUUAGACAUGGCAGCACAAUUUAGACCGAGAGACAGUGAUUUGUGGAAGCGUAUAUGUGCUGACGAGUAUAUGAAGUGCGCUGUAAUUGAAUGCUACGAGUCAUUCAAACUUGUUCUUAAUUUAGUGGUGGUUGGAGAAAAUGAAAAGAGGAUUAUUGGGAUUAUAAUCAAAGAGAUUGAAGCUAACAUCGCAAAGAAUACAUUCCUUGCCAAUUUUAGGAUGAGCGCAUUGCCAGUCCUUUGCAAGAAGUUUGUGGAGCUUGUAUCCACCUUGAAAGAAAGAGACGCCUCAAAAUUUGAUAAUGUAGUGCUAUUGCUUCAAGACAUGCUGGAAGUGAUCACGAGGGAUAUGAUGGUCAAUGAGAUCAAAGAACUAGCUGAAUUUGGUCAUGGGAACAAGGAUUUAGUUCCAAGAAGACAACUUUUUGCGGGCACAGGCACAAAACCUGCAAUUGUUUUCCCACCACCAAUUUCUGCGCAGUGGGAAGAACAAAUUAAGCGCUUGUACCUUCUUUUGACUGUUAAAGAAUCAGCAAUGGAUGUGCCUACAAAUCUUGAAGCCCGCCGGAGAAUAUCAUUUUUCACUAAUUCGCUAUUCAUGGAGAUGCCACGUGCGCCUAGAGUGCGCAAAAUGCUCUCUUUCAGUGUAAUGACACCAUACUACAGUGAGGAAACUGUAUAUUCAAGAAACGACCUUGAUCUGGAGAAUGAGGAUGGUGUAUCAAUUAUAUUCUACCUGCAGAAGAUCUUUCCAGAUGAAUGGGAUAAUUUCAUGGAAAGGAUUGAUUGCAAAAAAGAAACUGAAGUUUGGGGAAAUGAAGAAAAUGUUCUUCAACUUCGUCAUUGGGCCUCUCUUAGAGGGCAGACACUCUGUCGAACAGUGAGAGGCAUGAUGUAUUACAGGAAAGCUUUGAAGCUUCAAGCAUUCCUAGACAUGGCUUCUGAAUCUGAGAUACUAGAAGGCUAUAAAGCCAUUGCAGAUCCCGCAGAGGAAGAGAAGAAAAGCCAAAGAUCUCUGUCUUCUCAGCUUGAAGCUAUAGCAGACAUGAAAUUCACAUAUGUUGCUACGUGCCAGAUCUAUGGAAAUCAGAAACAGUCGGGUGAUCGACAUGCAACAGAUAUACUGAACUUGAUGGUGCAUUAUCCUGGUCUCCGCGUGGCAUACAUUGAUGAAGUUGAGGAGAGGGAUGGUGAGAAGGUGCAAAAGGUCUUCUAUUCGGUGCUAGUAAAAGCUCUUGACAAUCACGAUCAGGAAAUAUACCGCAUAAAAUUGCCAGGGCCAGCGAAAUUAGGUGAAGGGAAACCUGAAAACCAAAAUCACGCGAUCAUUUUUACCCGCGGAGAAGCUUUGCAAACCAUUGAUAUGAACCAGGACAAUUAUUUGGAGGAAGCUUUGAAAAUGCGGAAUUUGCUGGAAGAAUUCAAUGAGAACCAUGGUAUUCGUCCUCCAACAAUUCUUGGAGUACGUGAACACAUAUUCACCGGAAGUGUGUCAUCUCUUGCCUGGUUUAUGUCAAACCAGGAAACCAGCUUUGUGACAAUAGGACAGAGGGUUCUUGCCAAUCCAUUGAAGGUACGUUUUCACUAUGGACAUCCUGAUGUGUUUGAUAGGAUAUUUCACAUUACAAGAGGUGGAAUUAGCAAGGCUUCCUGUGGUAUAAACUUGAGUGAAGACAUUUUUGCUGGUUUCAACUCAACUCUGAGGCGAGGAAAUGUCACCCAUCACGAGUACAUUCAAGUCGGAAAAGGACGUGAUGUUGGGUUGAAUCAAAUUUCACUCUUUGAGGCCAAAGUGGCGUGUGGCAAUGGAGAACAAGUGCUUAGCAGAGAUAUCUACCGUUUGGGCCACCGCUUUGACUUCUUCCGAAUGCUCUCAUGUUACUUCACAACUGUGGGAUUUUAUGUCAGCUCAAUGAUGGUUGUCAUAAUAGUAUAUGUUUUCUUGUAUGGGAGGCUUUAUUUAGCCUUAAGUGGACUUGAGUUUGCAAUUAUGAAGCAAGCACGAAUGAGAGGCAACCGUGCUCUUGAGGCAGCCAUGGGGUCCCAAUCUAUUGUGCAGCUAGGUCUAUUGAUGGCCUUACCCAUGUUUAUGGAGAUCGGACUGGAAAGGGGUUUUAGAAGCGCCCUGGGGGAUUUCAUCAUCAUGCAGCUACAGCUAUGUGCAGUAUUCUUUACCUUUUCCCUCGGGACAAAAUCACAUUAUUUUGGCCGCACAAUCCUCCACGGUGGUGCAAAAUAUAGAGCAACUGGCAGAGGCUUUGUUGUUCGCCAUGUAAAGUUCGCUGAAAAUUACAGAAUGUAUAGCAGGAGUCACUUUGUGAAAGGACUUGAGCUCAUGUUACUACUUGUAGUGUAUGAGCUCUAUGGUGAUGUGGCGACAGAUUCCACGGCCUAUGUUCUUCUGACAUCAUCUAUGUGGUUCUUGGUAAUCACAUGGCUGUUUGCUCCAUUCCUCUUCAACCCAUCAGGAUUUGAAUGGCAAAAGGUGGUGGAUGAUUGGGAUGAUUGGAACAAAUGGAUAAGCAGCCGUGGCGGGAUUGGUGUGCCGGCCAAUAAGGCCUGGGAGUCGUGGUGGGAAGAGGAGCAGGAACAUCUGCUGUCAACAGGCAUAAUCGGCCGCAUAUGGGAAAUCAUAUUAUCUCUCCGAUUCUUCAUGUUUCAGUACGGUAUCAUGUACCAUCUGAAUAUCUCUAAUGGCAACAAAAGCAUAUCAAUUUAUGGUCUGUCUUGGCUGGUCACUGUAGCAGUAGUGUUGGUCCUCAAGGUGGUAUCUAUGGGAAGAAAGAAAUUUAGUGCUGACUUCCAGCUUAUGUUCCGGCUCCUCAAAUUGUUCUUGUUCAUUGGAUCUGUUGGAACUUUGGCGAUUCUUUUCACCCUUCUGCACCUUACAGUUGGUGACAUAUUCGCCAGCUUCCUUGCCUUUGCACCCACAGGAUGGGCCAUUCUGCAGAUAUCACAGGCAAGCAAGCCAGUGGUGAAGGCUUUUGGUCUGUGGGGAUCUGUGAAGGCCUUGUCCAGGGGGUACGAGUACCUUAUGGGGAUCGUGAUCUUCGUGCCAGUGGCGGUUCUGGCAUGGUUCCCUUUUGUCUCGGAGUUCCAGACGAGGCUGCUAUUCAACCAGGCAUUCUCCCGAGGCCUCCAAAUCUCUCGCAUUUUGGCUGGCGGAAAGAAGCAAAACUGA
This 5853-nucleotide ribosomal RNA is filed under the name Triticum aestivum (bread wheat). Its description in RNAcentral is "partial small subunit ribosomal RNA". The record is from RNAcentral. Lineage: Eukaryota; Viridiplantae; Streptophyta; Magnoliopsida; Poales; Poaceae.